This is a long non-coding RNA of Raphanus sativus (radish), 1183 nucleotides long. RefSeq lists it as uncharacterized. NCBI's taxonomy places the organism in Eukaryota, Viridiplantae, Streptophyta, Magnoliopsida, Brassicales, Brassicaceae. The transcript is spliced from 3 exons. The record is from RefSeq and is a predicted model, not a curated record.
AUUAGGGACAAAACAAAAUGUCUCUUGUCUCUCUUUGUUUUGCGAUGCAUUUGCUCAAAAUCAAUAUUCUCUUCUUCUGGAUUUUGAUAAAGAAGAAGAGUUUUCGAAGACGAUUUCAUGGGUUUUCGAUUCCAAUCUCAUGAUGGAUGGUUCGGCGGAGACAGUUGACCGGUUCCGUUUCCGGCGAGUAAUCUCCUGGAACGUCGCCGUCUGGGUUCGGAGAAAUUGCAGAGCAGGAGCUUAAGCAGUACGACGGCUCCGAUUCAAAGCUCAUGCUUAUUGAAUCCAACCUAAGUUCUCUCUAUGACUCUAUUCCAUGAACACACUUCGUUUCAUAUAUAAGUGUUCAAGCAGGACCUUUUUGUCAAACUAUUUUUUGCAUUUCCUAUGUUGCUAAUUUGCAUUAAUUUUUCAGGAUGAUGAGACUUCUAGCUAGGACUCUAUAUGAUGAUAAUCUUACUACGUUAAGCGAUAAUCAGAAGAAAAAUCUGCAAAAGGUGACAACAGUUGAGGGAAUAACUUUGUGGUGCUGGAAGCUCUUAUGAGGUUUGUGUGCAUCUAUCCCCGUAAAGAGGUAUGUGUGCAAUGUAAAGAGGCGUCAGCGCCAAAGACUCCAGUUUGCAGAGGUCUGCGUAUAAACAGUCUAAAGAAAGUGUUCUGAGCUUUCAAAGUCAAGAUUCUCUUUUGAUUGUUUGGUGGACCUUUGCUGUUAAUGGAGCUUGUGUUUUUGUUGAGAGGAGUUCCUUCACUAAGUGGCUCUCUCACCCAUGGGUCUUCUUCGUGGGAGUGAAUCUCUUUUCGCCGCUUAAUCAGUAAUGUGUUGUUCAUUUAUAUUUUGUUUGGAUUUGCAACAGAAAUCAUUCUCCAAAGGAGUUAAUAUAUAAAGUUUGGAAGUGAGAAGGAUAGCAAGGAGUUUUGUGAUUCGUUUGAGGAAUGGAGAAACGAUGCUCUUGUUCGAGGAUCAUCCACAGUUUCAGCUAGUAAAAGCAAGUUUGACGAUAAGAUUGAGACGUCCUCGGCCAAAAUGUAUUUCCACUUCUAUGGACAGCUUCUUCAUCAGCAAAACAUGCUACAAGAUUAUGUGAGGACAGGUAAAAUUAUAUGGCCUUAUAUGUAUCUACCAAUUUAUUUACUAAGAAACAACAUAAAGUAUUUACCAAUAAUCUGCAUAUUUUUUAUUGUA